This 347-nucleotide long non-coding RNA is filed under the name Mytilus galloprovincialis (Mediterranean mussel). Lineage: Eukaryota; Metazoa; Mollusca; Bivalvia; Mytilida; Mytilidae. The record is from RNAcentral.
UCGGGUUGUAUCAUAUUUUCCUUCCGGUUUAUAUGAUCCGUUCAUCCUAUAUUGACUCUUAAAAUUCAAGAGUCUAUCUAUCUAAAAAUGAGGGUACUUUUUAUAUGGCCUUCCAAAUACCGUUUCGAUCCCUAACAUCACUGAAGAGACAUUUAUUGUCGAAAUCCGGAUCUGGUGUACUAAAAAAAUAUUGACACCGUGUGUUUGUGCCAUAACAUCGUGGCCACAAGUUAAUUUUAUUUUUUAUUUUUAUUUUUUUUCUGUUUAGUAUUAAAUUUAUAUUAAGAUCCAUUUUGUUACAUCUUGUGAUCAAUUUUAUUUGGCAAUCGCCAAUGGCAGUCAGUAGG